GAGGGUUGGCCGAGUGGUUGAAGGCGGCGGUCUUGAAAACCGUUGAACGUAACCCGUUCCAUAGGUUCGAAUCCUAUACCCUC
RNAcentral lists this transfer RNA (83 nucleotides) under marine eukaryotic metagenome. It matches the Rfam family "tRNA". Rfam says of the family: Transfer RNA (tRNA) molecules are approximately 80 nucleotides in length. The record is from RNAcentral.